GUGACCCAUCGCGGGAAGAAUAAAAUCCGGUAGUGGGCUGCUUCCAGGAAGAGCGAGAGCUGCAAGAGCCAACUACUGAAGCCGUGAGUCGUCGUGCGAGAGUGUUUAAGUGUGAUUUAUCUGCGGUAUUGGCCAGGUUGGAUGGUGAGCUAGAGCCUGAACUAGAGUCUGAAGCUUUAUUCCUGGAACCAAACCAACCGAACUGAAUCCACCCAACCGAGCCCCGGGCGGGUAGGAGGCUCCUCAGCAGCCGCUCUGUUUCUUCCCUUUGUUUUCCAUAAUGCAACGUGUUCAUUUCUGUCCUCCUGAACCUUCACAUUUAACCCGUUACCUUCACUAAAACCCCUCUGGACACUGCCACCACAACGUGGACUUUGUGAGGUCGUUUAAUGAACUGUCGUGUUGCGCUUAUACCAUCUUUGGUAAAAACAAGGACUGAAUCAAGUACUGUAUCACAUUGUAAAUAUUGAACGCUCUGUAACUUAUGUUGAAAAUGUGAAUGGCCAUUUGAAUUUACAUGUCUGUUUUUUUAUUUUUCCUAUAACUCUUUAAUAUAAUUUGGUACCAUUUAAACUUAAAUCCUGUGUUCAGUCUUCAUUACUCUCCAUUCCUAGAGCUGAAUUUAGUUUAUUCUGAUCCAGCCCAGUUAUAUAAUUCACUGUUUACCUAGUACAUGUACAGUGCUUUACUAAAGUAACUUACAGGCUACAAAAGGCCAUGUUAACACAGUGAUAAAAAUGCCCCUGUGCCAACUUUUUUUGCAAUGUGCUGCCGCCAUUCAAUUCUAAGUUAAUGAUUAUUUCCAAAAAUAAAGUUAGUUUCUCAGCUUGAACAUUAAACAUCUUGUUUUUGCAGUCUAUUUAAUUGAAUAUAAGUUUAAAAGCAUUUGCAAAUCAUUGUAUUCUGUUUUUAUUUACCAUUUACACAACGGGCUAACUUCACUGGUUUUGGAUUUUGUAAUUGAAAGGGAGAUAAUUGCUGAGCAUUUUGUCUGCUGUAAUGCUGCACAAUGUUGGGGACAUAUAGGAUUACAGUUGUCUGUGGCUUCAUGUCAAUAUCUACCUGUACUUAUUUGACUGAUUCAAGCUUUUUUUGUUAUGUAUUUAUUUUAUAUAUAUUAGGGAUGCACCGAAUAUAUUCGGCCGAAUAUGGCAAAAAAAGCCACAUUCGGCCUUCGGUGGAAUGAGUUAAAUGCAAGGCCGAAUAGUGGUGUAUGAUGCAAUUUUUGGACGCGGUGACGCAAUCAACCAACAUGCAGUGACGCGGUGACGUUGUAACCCGGCGCCUUCGGAAAAAUGUCAGCAAUGUGGAGAUAUUUUAAAGUGACAAAAGUAUUGCAGUUUGCAACGAAUGUUCAACCAAACGGUCUCGAGGAGGUGCCUCGUGGCCGACGUCUUUGAGAGGACGAAAAAGUUUGCGACUGACAGUGCCAAAGCAAACGGAAUUACAAAGAAGGUAAUGGAGUUUAUGGCUUUGGAUGAUCAACCGUUUAGUGUUGUGGAGGACAUUGACUUUCGGAGACUCCUGGAGCACAUUGAGCCCCGUUACACGAUACCGAGCAGACGGUAUUUAUCUGAUGUUUGCUCUUUACAUUGUGUGUGUGCUGUUUACAUUAUUAGCCUGUUGUGUUGGCUACCUGUAUGAGGUUACAAGCACACACUUAUUGAGAUUUAGUGGGGCCUCUGUUUACAUCAGUGGUUCCCAAAGUGGGCGGU
This is a long non-coding RNA of Nerophis ophidion (straightnose pipefish), 1715 nucleotides long. RefSeq lists it as uncharacterized. The record is from RefSeq and is a predicted model, not a curated record. NCBI's taxonomy places the organism in Eukaryota, Metazoa, Chordata, Actinopteri, Syngnathiformes, Syngnathidae. The transcript is spliced from 3 exons.